This 1479-nucleotide ribosomal RNA is filed under the name uncultured bacterium. Its description in RNAcentral is "16S ribosomal RNA". It matches the Rfam family "Bacterial small subunit ribosomal RNA". The record is from RNAcentral.
CUCAGGAUGAACGCUAGCGACAGGCCUAACACAUGCAAGUCGAGGGGCAUCGGGGCGAGGAGCAAUCCUUGCCGCCGGCGACCGGUGCACGGGUGAGUAACGCGUAUGCGACCUGCCCGUUGCAGGGGGAUAAUCGGGAGAAAUCCCGUCUAUACCGCGUAAUGCCGCGGGGCUGCAUGGCCCUGCGGCCAAAGGGAGCGAUUCCGGCAACGGAUGGGCGUGCGUGACAUUAGCUAGUUGGCGGGGCAACGGCCCACCAAGGCGACGAUGUCUAGGGGUUCUGAGAGGAAGGUCCCCCACACUGGUACUGAGACACGGACCAGACUCCUACGGGAGGCAGCAGUGAGGAAUAUUGGUCAAUGGGCGCGAGCCUGAACCAGCCAAGUCGCGUGAGGGAUGACGGCCCUACGGGUUGCAAACCUCUUUUGUCGGGGAGCAAAUUCCGCCACGUGUGGCGGAGUCGGGAGUACCCGAAGAAAAAGCAUCGGCUAACUCCGUGCCAGCAGCCGCGGUAAUACGGAGGAUGCGAGCGUUAUCCGGAUUUAUUGGGUUUAAAGGGUGCGUAGGCGGACUGUCAAGUCAGCGGUAAAAUACGGGGGCUCAACCUCCGCCCGCCGUUGAAACUGACGGUCUUGAGUGGGCGAGAAGUAUGCGGAAUGCGUGGUGUAGCGGUGAAAUGCAUAGAUAUCACGCAGAACUCCGAUUGCGAAGGCAGCAUACCGGCGCCCGACUGACGCUGAAGCACGAAAGCGUGGGUAUCGAACAGGAUUAGAUACCCUGGUAGUCCACGCAGUAAACGAUGAAUACUAGCUGUCCGGGGCGAAUGAGCCCUGGGUGGCACAGCGAAAGCGUUAAGUAUUCCACCUGGGGAGUACGCCGGCAACGGUGAAACUCAAAGGAAUUGACGGGGGUCCGCACAAGCGGAGGAACAUGUGGUUUAAUUCGAUGAUACGCGAGGAACCUUACCCGGGCUCAAACGACACAGGAACGUACCUGAAAGGGUUCGGCUCUACGGAGCCUGUGUCGAGGUGCUGCAUGGUUGUCGUCAGCUCGUGCCGUGAGGUGUCGGCUUAAGUGCCAUAACGAGCGCAACCCCCAUCGACAGUUGCUAACAGGUCAGGCUGAGGACUCUGUCGAGACUGCCGGCGCAAGCUGCGAGGAAGGCGGGGAUGACGUCAAAUCAGCACGGCCCUUACGUCCGGGGCGACACACGUGUUACAAUGGCAGGUACAGCGGGAAGCCACCUGGCGACAGGGAGCGGAACCCGAAAGCCUGUCUCAGUUCGGAUUGGAGUCUGCAACCCGACUCCAUGAAGCUGGAUGCGCUAGUAAUCGCGCAUCAGCCACGGCGCGGUGAAUACGUUCCCGGGCCUUGUACACACCGCCCGUCAAGCCAUGGAAGCCGGGGGUGCCUGAAGUACGCUGCCGCGAGGAGCGCCCUAGGGUAAAACCGGUGAUGGGGAUAAGUCGUAACAAGGUA